RNAcentral lists this ribosomal RNA (450 nucleotides) under uncultured bacterium. Its description in RNAcentral is "partial 16S ribosomal RNA". It matches the Rfam family "Bacterial small subunit ribosomal RNA", at positions 354 to 796 of the family's 1533-position model. The record is from RNAcentral.
GUGGGGAAUUUUGGACAAUGGGCGAAAGCCUGAUCCAGCCAUGCCGCGUGCAGGAUGAAGGCCUUCGGGUUGUAAACUGCUUUUGUACGGAACGAAAAGACUCCUUCUAAUAAAGGGGGUCCAUGACGGUACCGUAAGAAUAAGCACCGGCUAACUACGUGCCAGCAGCCGCGGUAAUACGUAGGGUGCAAGCGUUAAUCGGAAUUACUGGGCGUAAAGCGUGCGCAGGCGGUUAUAUAAGACAGAUGUGAAAUCCCCGGGCUCAACCUGGGAACUGCAUGUGUGACUGUAUAGCUAGAGUACGGUAGAGGGGGAUGGAAUUCCGCGUGUAGCAGUGAAAUGCGUAGAUAUGCGGAGGAACACCGAUGGCGAAGGCAAUCCCCUGGACCUGUACUGACGCUCAUGCACGAAAGCGUGGGGAGCAAACAGGAUUAGAUACCCCUGUAGUCC